RNAcentral lists this ribosomal RNA (580 nucleotides) under uncultured beta proteobacterium. RNAcentral's name for it is "bacterial SSU rRNA". It matches the Rfam family "Bacterial small subunit ribosomal RNA", at positions 836 to 1420 of the family's 1533-position model. The record is from RNAcentral. Lineage: Bacteria; Pseudomonadati; Pseudomonadota; Betaproteobacteria.
AUUCUGAGUAACGUAGCUAACGCGUGAAGUCAGCCGCCUGGGGAGUACGGUCGCAAGAUUAAACUCAAAGGAAUUGACGGGGACCCGCACAAGCGGUGGAUGAUGUGGAUUAAUUCGAUGCAACGCGAAAAACCUUACCUACCCUUGACAUGUCACUAACGAAGUAGAGAUACAUUAGGUGCCCGUAAGGGAAAGUGAACACAGGUGCUGCAUGGCUGUCGUCAGCUCGUGUCGUGAGAUGUUGGGUUAAGUCCCGCAACGAGCGCAACCCUUGUCUUUAGUUGCUACGCAAGAGCACUCUAAAGAGACUGCCGGUGACAAACCGGAGGAAGGUGGGGAUGACGUCAAGUCCUCAUGGCCCUUAUGGGUAGGGCUUCACACGUCAUACAAUGGUGCAUACAGAGGGUUGCCAACCCGCGAGGGGGAGCUAAUCUCAGAAAAUGCAUCGUAGUCCGGAUCGUAGUCUGCAACUCGACUACGUGAAGCUGGAAUCGCUAGUAAUCGCGGAUCAGAAUGCCGCGGUGAAUACGUUCCCGGGUCUUGUACACACCGCCCGUCAUACCAUGGGAGUGGGUUUUGC